AGCGGAAUGACGAGCAAUUGGAAGCUCACUUUGUUUAUAAUCAAGAGUAUGUAGGUUCGAGUCCUAUUUCCGCAA
This 75-nucleotide transfer RNA is filed under the name Caudoviricetes sp. RNAcentral describes it as "tRNA-Ile". It matches the Rfam family "tRNA". Rfam says of the family: Transfer RNA (tRNA) molecules are approximately 80 nucleotides in length. Their secondary structure includes four short double-helical elements and three loops (D, anti-codon, and T loops). Further hydrogen bonds mediate the characteristic L-shaped molecular structure. tRNAs have two regions of fundamental functional importance: the anti-codon, which is responsible for specific mRNA codon recognition, and the 3' end, to which the tRNAs corresponding amino acid is attached (by aminoacyl-tRNA synthetases). tRNAs cope with the degeneracy of the genetic code in two manners: having more than one tRNA (with a specific anti-codon) for a particular amino acid; and 'wobble' base-pairing, i.e. permitting non-standard base-pairing at the 3rd anti-codon position. The record is from RNAcentral. Lineage: Duplodnaviria; Heunggongvirae; Uroviricota; Caudoviricetes.